UAUCAUCUUACCUUGAAUUGGGCACAAUCGCCACUUUCGGUAGACCCGUGGUACCGCUAGUGUAGAUGUAAAUCAACUUGUCCCUGUAUCCAAUCUCUUCUGUCACAACCGGUUCCUCUGUGCCGGCUUCCGCUAGCAAUUUAUUCAAAUUCUGCACGCCGAUUUCGUCUUUUUCAGGGUUGGUGUACACCUUGUACAUCUGUACAUUCGGCAUCGAGUCCUUGAUGUCGUUGAUGGCUAAAACAAGAAUUGACAUUUCGCACGUUUUUUAUAAUCGUUCACCGUCCGUAGUUCCUGUGCCCACACCUUUGCGAAGACUGCACGGAAAUAGCAACUAACUCAAAGGGCUCGGAGGCAAUUAUCAAAGAUUCACCGAGCAAACUUCAUCGGUAUGAUUUACGAACAGGAGUAGGAAGAAACCGUCGUAUAAAUAUAGUCCAUUUGAAGGUUCGUUAAAAAUAAUUUUCUUAUAACAGUAGACGACGAUGGUAAAAGUGAUAGCAGUAGAUCAAUAAGCAAGAAAAUCUACUGCAGUCGACUCCAAUAAAGUACCAAAAGCUAAUUUUGAACGUUCUACUACGAAGUAAUUGCGUCAUUAACGACAACUACUACUGCUACUAAAUAUAAGGUUUAAAUAGUUUAAUGUUCCAUUGAUUCUGAUAAUGAAUUUCCCAUUAGCGAAUGUUCUGAAAAUUGAUCAUUUCAAAGAUCAGUACCUAUUACAACAUAUCUAUUUACCUAGGCACCUACUUAAGCACUAGUAAUCUAAUUAGUGGACUCUGGACGCUCGAACAAGCUUUUAUUUUUCUCAAAUCCGAAUCAAAGAGUUUCGCGUCAGCUUAAAAGAUUAUUUAAAUUAGCAAUAAAUGAUAAAGUUAAUUAAUUAUUUUCACAUAUACGUUUAUAUUUAUAGCACGAUGUAAUAAACAUAAUAUCUGCUGUACAGUAAUCUGUUUCAGGCUAAUGAAAUUUUAUAUCAGCGUUUCGAACCUCUACUUUGUUGCUUGUAAUGCUUUGUUUUCUACGCAAUAAAAUGACUAGAAAAAAAAAGAGCGAACAUUUUAGUGGAGAGUCGAUUGAAACGUACGUCAGAAUUGGUCCAAACACGAUCCUCCAUGAUGAAACAUGGCUUCGUGGGGUAACGUUCCACUCUCUUCUUAAAAAUCUUCGUGACAGUCAUAUUGUUCCGACGUUGGACUUUCAUCUCAAGCUCAGCCGUUAUAGCACGAUAAAGAAAUCUGAAACACAAAGUUAAUUUUUACAAUGUAAUGCGCGUCGUUUGAAUUCGACGCGUUACUCCGCAAUCCAUCAUCGAAAUGUGCUCCAUUUCCAUGCUGGUUGUUGAUUCUAAAUUCAAACGCGAUGUUCACGUUCUUAAUCAGCAUUUCAAAAUGUUUCUUUUUCUUUUUUGUUUAAAUUCAUAGCACUCUCUUAACGCACAUUACUAUAAUAAGCAAUGUUUUGAAUUUAUUUAAUUAAUAUACAAGAACUGAAAUAUUAAUCGUUGGGUACAUUUCGUUGCUAAAUGUGUACAUGCAUACUCGAAUCUAAAAAAUAUUAUGAAACUUUGUACACGUGUAGCACACCUGUUCAAAAUUUAAUUAGGUUCACAUGGGUUGAAUUGUCUCUAAUAAUAAUGUCUCUAAUAAUAAUAAAUAAUAAUAGUAAUAAUUUACUAAUAAUUUAAGAACUGUCCGUCCAGUUCACGCUGCAUUCGCCAUUGAUCGUCGUAAUUUGGUAAUAAAAAUACGCAUAAACUAACAAGCGUGUUCAUUUCCGGAUAAACCUAUUUGAUAUCCUCGUCACGUUACGUAUCCUUGCCGCGAAAUUCAGCAACUUUUAAAAAUAGCUUCUUAUAAAGAAGAGCUUCUACGUGAUUGAGUACACGAAAACAAAUUCAUGCAUGUACCAGUAGUAGCAUACAGUCUAUAGAGAAUGCACAAGAAUGUGCAGAACUUCGCGCUGCUUUUCCAUCUAACGCUUUGAAUGUGACUUGCACAAUUUUUUCAUUAAACUUGAAAAUUAGUUUUUAUUACUAUUAUUUAUUGAAUUUCAUUGCUAUUAUUUACUAUAUUUUAUGCUACCAGGUGUAAGAUUUUGUUAGAUUCCACGAGAUACGAAAGGGUUGGAAAAAGCAAUUGUGGUGGAUAAUCCUGAUGUUUAUUGCUGUAAUAUUAACGAAACCAUUUGUUCUGUUUCCGUAUGCCUUUUAUGGACACUGGUAUGGCUGCGGGCAUGGUGUAUAGCACCGGACAGCUAUUCUGUCGAUACACCAAAGCGCAAAUACGUAUUAAUCAUUCAUCGUGACUCUGUAAAUCCGUUGGCAGAACUUUGCAUAAAUGUUAGAGAAUAAAAAUAUAAACUUA
Long non-coding RNA from Megalopta genalis, 2366 nucleotides. RefSeq lists it as uncharacterized. The record is from RefSeq and is a predicted model, not a curated record. NCBI's taxonomy places the organism in Eukaryota, Metazoa, Arthropoda, Insecta, Hymenoptera, Halictidae.